Molecule: long non-coding RNA, 306 nt
Filed under: Elaeis guineensis (African oil palm)
Lineage: Eukaryota; Viridiplantae; Streptophyta; Magnoliopsida; Arecales; Arecaceae
Description: long non-coding RNA (EGUI_LNC023701)
Source: RNAcentral
CUGCAAAGGCAGCUUUUAGAGAUGCUGAACACAAAUUUUCUGAGGAAGUGGAAGCCUAAAGAGAAUGCUGCCGUUGGCAACAGGAAGCUUUCAACCUGUUUUAAUCUCUUUUCUUGGAUAAUUGCUGACAACAAAUUGCUAGUGCACAGAAUUAAUUUAGUUUUAUAUCAUUUAUCAUGGUUCAGAAAUGUUAGUUACAAUUGUGUGCCUGUACAUACACCCAGCCAGGUAGUUAAUUCUUAGAAGCUCUUUGACAUCCUGCUUCUGGUUAAUUCUGUUCAAUUUUAAUGUGUUAUCAAGUGCAGA